This 1460-nucleotide ribosomal RNA is filed under the name Staphylococcus aureus. RNAcentral describes it as "bacterial LSU rRNA". It matches the Rfam family "Bacterial large subunit ribosomal RNA", at positions 1466 to 2925 of the family's 2925-position model. The record is from RNAcentral. Lineage: Bacteria; Bacillati; Bacillota; Bacilli; Caryophanales; Staphylococcaceae.
GGGGGGACGCAGUAGGAUAGGCGAAGCGUGCGAUUGGAUUGCACGUCUAAGCAGUAAGGCUGAGUAUUAGGCAAAUCCGGUACUCGUUAAGGCUGAGCUGUGAUGGGGAGAAGACAUUGUGUCUUCGAGUCGUUGAUUUCACACUGCCGAGAAAAGCCUCUAGAUAGAAAAUAGGUGCCCGUACCGCAAACCGACACAGGUAGUCAAGAUGAGAAUUCUAAGGUGAGCGAGCGAACUCUCGUUAAGGAACUCGGCAAAAUGACCCCGUAACUUCGGGAGAAGGGGUGCUCUUUAGGGUUAACGCCCAGAAGAGCCGCAGUGAAUAGGCCCAAGCGACUGUUUAUCAAAAACACAGGUCUCUGCUAAACCGUAAGGUGAUGUAUAGGGGCUGACGCCUGCCCGGUGCUGGAAGGUUAAGAGGAGUGGUUAGCUUCUGCGAAGCUACGAAUCGAAGCCCCAGUAAACGGCGGCCGUAACUAUAACGGUCCUAAGGUAGCGAAAUUCCUUGUCGGGUAAGUUCCGACCCGCACGAAAGGCGUAACGAUUUGGGCACUGUCUCAACGAGAGACUCGGUGAAAUCAUAGUACCUGUGAAGAUGCAGGUUACCCGCGACAGGACGGAAAGACCCCGUGGAGCUUUACUGUAGCCUGAUAUUGAAAUUCGGCACAGCUUGUACAGGAUAGGUAGGAGCCUUUGAAACGUGAGCGCUAGCUUACGUGGAGGCGCUGGUGGGAUACUACCCUAGCUGUGUUGGCUUUCUAACCCGCACCACUUAUCGUGGUGGGAGACAGUGUCAGGCGGGCAGUUUGACUGGGGCGGUCGCCUCCUAAAAGGUAACGGAGGCGCUCAAAGGUUCCCUCAGAAUGGUUGGAAAUCAUUCAUAGAGUGUAAAGGCAUAAGGGAGCUUGACUGCGAGACCUACAAGUCGAGCAGGGUCGAAAGACGGACUUAGUGAUCCGGUGGUUCCGCAUGGAAGGGCCAUCGCUCAACGGAUAAAAGCUACCCCGGGGAUAACAGGCUUAUCUCCCCCAAGAGUUCACAUCGACGGGGAGGUUUGGCACCUCGAUGUCGGCUCAUCGCAUCCUGGGGCUGUAGUCGGUCCCAAGGGUUGGGCUGUUCGCCCAUUAAAGCGGUACGCGAGCUGGGUUCAGAACGUCGUGAGACAGUUCGGUCCCUAUCCGUCGUGGGCGUAGGAAAUUUGAGAGGAGCUGUCCUUAGUACGAGAGGACCGGGAUGGACAUACCUCUGGUGUACCAGUUGUCGUGCCAACGGCAUAGCUGGGUAGCUAUGUGUGGACGGGAUAAGUGCUGAAAGCAUCUAAGCAUGAAGCCCCCCUCAAGAUGAGAUUUCCCAACUUCGGUUAUAAGAUCCCUCAAAGAUGAUGAGGUUAAUAGGUUCGAGGUGGAAGCAUGGUGACAUGUGGAGCUGACGAAUACUAAUCGAUCGAAGACUUAAUCAAA